UGCUGAGCUGUGGGUCCCCAGGAACAAGUUUGAAAACCAUUGUCCUAAGCAAAUGGUGGUUUCAACUUGAUGGGUGGACAAAACUGGACCAAAUGGACCUGUGAAAAUAAGGACUGUUUCCAAACAGGUUUCCUAAACACUAGGGUUGACAGGGCUUCAAGUUUGACUCAUUUUCCAGUAUUAUCCCACAGGAGAAAGGCAAAGUCGUUCAAUCUGAAUGGGGAAUUGACCCACAGACGCUCUGUGUGACGGAUCCCAUGCCAGCAGACUUAGAGUAUGACACAAUUCACCCUUCCUCACAAUACAGACACAAUCAGUGACACAUUGACUCAUACAGUACACUUGAGACAACGAGAGUCAUUGUCCGGUGAUUAAUACCAAAAAUGUCAUCGUCACAAA
Long non-coding RNA from Carassius gibelio (silver crucian carp), 399 nucleotides. RefSeq lists it as uncharacterized. The record is from RefSeq and is a predicted model, not a curated record. The transcript has 4 exons. Lineage: Eukaryota; Metazoa; Chordata; Actinopteri; Cypriniformes; Cyprinidae.